GACGAACGCUGGCGGCGUGCUUAACACAUGCAAGUCGAACGGAAAGGCCCUGCUUUUGUGGGGUGCUCGAGUGGCGAACGGGUGAGUAACACGUGAGUAACCUGCCCUUGACUUUGGGAUAACUUCAGGAAACUGGGGCUAAUACCGGAUAGGAGCUCCUGCUGCAUGGUGGGGGUUGGAAAGUUUCGGCGGUUGGGGAUGGACUCGCGGCUUAUCAGCUUGUUGGUGGGGUAGUGGCUUACCAAGGCUUUGACGGGUAGCCGGCCUGAGAGGGUGACCGGCCACAUGGGGACUGGAAGACGGCCCAGACUCCGACGGGGGGCAAAAGGGGGGAAUUUUGCAAAAGGGGCGGAAGCCUGAUGCAGAACCCCCGGGGGGGGGAGGAGGGCCUUGGGGUUGUAAACCGCUUUCGCCUGUGACGAAGGGUGAGUGACGGUAAUGGGGAAAGAAGCACCGGUAAAUUACGU
This 467-nucleotide ribosomal RNA is filed under the name uncultured bacterium. Its description in RNAcentral is "partial 16S ribosomal RNA". It matches the Rfam family "Bacterial small subunit ribosomal RNA", at positions 28 to 506 of the family's 1533-position model. The record is from RNAcentral.